Molecule: ribosomal RNA, 207 nt
Filed under: uncultured bacterium
Lineage: Bacteria
Description: partial 16S ribosomal RNA
Rfam family: Bacterial small subunit ribosomal RNA
Source: RNAcentral
CAUGUAGGCGGCCUUGUAAGCUUGGCGUGAAAGUCCAUGGCUCAACCAUGGGACUGCGUUGAGAACUGCGAGGCUUGAGUGACGGAGAGGGAGCUAGAAUUCCUGGUGUAGGGGUGGAAUCUGUAGAGAUCAGGAAGAAUACCAAUGGCGAAGGCAAGCUCCUGGCCGAUGACUGACGCUGAGGUGCGAAAGUGUGGGGAUCAAACA